Molecule: ribosomal RNA, 468 nt
Filed under: uncultured bacterium
Lineage: Bacteria
Description: partial 16S ribosomal RNA
Rfam family: Bacterial small subunit ribosomal RNA
Source: RNAcentral
GACGAACGCUGGCGGCGUGCUUAACACAUGCAAGUCGAACGGCAAGGCCCUGCUUUUGUGGGGUGCUCGAGUGGCGAACGGGUGAGUAACACGUGAGUAACCUGCCCUUGACUUUGGGAUAACUUCAGGAAACUGGGGCUAAUACCGGAUAGGAGCUCCUGCUGCAUGGUGGGGGUUGGAAAGUUUCGGCGGUUGGGGAUGGACUCGCCGCUUAUCAGCUUGUUGGUGGGGUAGUGGCUUACCAAGGCUUUGACGGGUAGCCGGCCUGGGAGGGUGACCGGCCACAUUGGGACUGUGAUACGGCCCAGACUCCUACGGGAGGCAGCAGUGGAGAAUAUUGCACAAUGGGCGGAAGCCUGAUGCAGCAACGCCGCGUGCGAGAUGACGACCUUCGGGUUGUAUACCGCUUUCGCCUGUGACGAAGCGUGAGUGACGGUAAUGGGUAAAGAAGCACCGGCUAACUACGUG